AAGUAGCAGUUGUGGUGAUAUAAGUAAAAGCUGAGUAAUAUCUAAAUGGAGAAAUAAUAAUCCUUAGACGCCAAACAAAGGUAAGUAGAAGAUCAAAUGCUCGGCUAACAAAAUCAGAAAUUGAGAUCCAGGCGGCAAAAGACGUCAAAAUUGCAGAGGUUCAAAGCUUCUCUGGCGAGUUUGACGAUUAGCGGCCUUGGCAAUCGUCGUGGGUUGACGACAAGAGCUUCAGCUUCUCAGGUGAUGUAGAGGUGGGCGGAGUUCGAUUACGGCUAGAAGAUUAGUGAUCGCGGACACAAAUUGGGUAAGAUUUUCGAUUAGGGCUCGCAGGUUGGGAAAGGGUACGAAAUAUACUCCCGCCAUGAUUCAUUGCUAAUUAACUUCCCGUCGUUAUUCCGCAAUAGACAGACGUCUGUCUUCAAAGUGUCUCCUUAAAUAUCACCUUUUUUUUGGGUUAUUUUUUUUAAUCUUGGUGAUCUUAUAAUUAAUUUGAAAUAAAAGUUUGAACCUGAGUUUUGUGAACAUGCCUUCCUUGAGCUACAAUGGUGGUUGACGCAGAAAUUUGUAAGGGUAGGGGCUAUACAUUCAAAUUUUGUAUGAGAUAAUAAUUUCCUUAUACUUUUUUUAUUUUGGUAGAGGCUUUUGCACGUUAAUUCAUACAAAUUACUAACAAAAUUAUAAUAUUAUACAACUAGAAAAGUAAAAAAAAAUUGGGAAGGGCUUAAGCCCUCCCUCAUGCCUAUGUGUGUCCGCCAGUGGCUAUGAUUAUGUCAUUCAAUGCAGAUAAUCCGAGAUUUGAUUUUAUGAUAGUAAGGAGAUAAGUAUUCUUGAAUGUUACAGAUAAUAAUUCUGCAAAUGGAUAGACGUAAAACGUAAAACCGGUAAUAGAUGAUGGUUGCUUGAUUACAUACCAAUAUACCAUGAUGGUUGGUUAAUUACCCUCAGAAAUCAAUCAUGAUGGUUGCUUCAAGAAAGGGUUUACACAUUUGUACGAUUCAAACUUGUUGUUCGAGCUAACAGGGAUGGUAUAUUGGUAUGUAAUCAAGUAACCAUCAUAAUCGUAAAAAUGGAUAACCCUUUCUUGAAGCAACCAUCUAUUCAAUCUAUACUUUCAUGGGGUUUGCGAAUCCAAUGUUAGCUCGAACAACAAGUUUGAAUCGUACAAUACAAAUGCAGGGUGUAAACACACCACAAGUUCGGUUUGAUUUCUGUUUUUGGGAUGAGCUUUUGCUGUCAACUUUGGUGUAAAAUUAGAUAACUUGUAAUGUUGUAAAUUUCAUUGUGAGAUAAAUAGGAUGAACACUUGUUGUCGAUUUCAAUGGUUAUCGUUUCAAACCAACUUUUCAAAAAUGGUUGCAGCAUUCAAAGUUGUUGACAAUGCUGUUGUAGUAAUUGACUAUGCAGAAACUAAAAGCCGAGUGAGUAACAUCGAAAUGGAGAAUAAAGCAAUCCUUAGACACAAAACAAGAAACAGAGCGGUGGCGGCAAAAAACGUCAAAAUUGCAGAGGUUCGAAGCUUCUCCGGCGAAGUUGACGAUGAACGGCCUUGGCAGUUGACGACGAGAGCUUCAGAUUCUCAGGUGAUAUUGAGAGGUGAACGGAGUUCGAUUACGGCUAGAAGAUCAGGGAUGGGGGACAUAAAUUGGGUAAGAAAUUGAAAUUCGAUUAGGGCUCGCAGACUGGGGAAGGUUCCAUCUUUCCAGCAUUUCAAUGAACUCCAUCGUUGCAUUGCUGACGCCUGACUGUGUCCACCACCAGUUGGUACAUCUUCUUCAAGGGACUGCUAGCUUUUGUAGCUCUGCUCAUCGCCUUCCAGAAUCUUGAGAACACAAGGCAUCUCGGGUCUGCAGUUUGCUUCCCGUUGUGUGCACAGCUGGCCAACGUGAAUGCAUCUUAGUACUUCAUAUAACAUAGCUGGGAAGGAACGUCAUUGCCUCCCCAUUAAGCUAUAUUCCAGACUCUCCUGCCGCAUACAAUCUCUAGGACUAUGAUUCCAAAGCUAUAGACAUCCGAUUUUAGAGAAAAUUUCCCCUGCUCGAGAUAUUCUAGAGGCAUAUUGCUUCUGCAAAGACAGAUAACUUAAAUUUGGUAGUAGAUAAAUUUGGAGAGAUAGCAGAUGACAUAGGAGGGAUAGGCAAAAGAGAGAAGGAUCGUUCCUGCUGUUUCUGUGGUUUCUAGCUCUUGUUGAUUUUAUUGCACAAAUACUAAGAUCA
This is an RNA transcript of Salvia splendens (bonfire salvia), 2213 nucleotides long. RefSeq lists it as uncharacterized. NCBI's taxonomy places the organism in Eukaryota, Viridiplantae, Streptophyta, Magnoliopsida, Lamiales, Lamiaceae. The record is from RefSeq and is a predicted model, not a curated record. The transcript is spliced from 3 exons.